This 464-nucleotide ribosomal RNA is filed under the name uncultured bacterium. RNAcentral's name for it is "partial 16S ribosomal RNA". It matches the Rfam family "Bacterial small subunit ribosomal RNA", at positions 339 to 795 of the family's 1533-position model. The record is from RNAcentral.
UUACGGGAUGCACCAGUGGGGAAUAUUGCACAAUGGGCGCAAGCCUGAUGCAGCCAUGCCGCGUGUAUGAAGAAGGCCUUCGGGUUGUAAAGUACUUUCAGCGGGGAGGAAGGGAGUAAAGUUAAUACCUUUGCUCAUUGACGUUACCCGCAGAAGAAGCACCGGCUAACUCCGUGCCAGCAGCCGCGGUAAUACGGAGGGUGCAAGCGUUAAUCAGAAUUACUGGGCGUAAAGCGCACGCAGGCGGUUUGUUAAGUCAGAUGUGAAAUCCCCGGGCUCAACCUGGGAACUGCAUCUGAUACUGGCAAGCUUGAGUCUCGUAGAGGGGGGUAGAAUUCCAGGUGUAGCGGUGAAAUGCGUAGAGAUCUGGAGGAAUACCGGUGGCGAAGGCGGCCCCCUGGACGAAGACUGACGCUCAGGUGCGAAAGCGUGGGGAGCAAACAGGAUUAGAUACCCCGGUAGUC